RNAcentral lists this long non-coding RNA (252 nucleotides) under Elaeis guineensis (African oil palm). RNAcentral's name for it is "long non-coding RNA (EGUI_LNC064554)". The record is from RNAcentral. Lineage: Eukaryota; Viridiplantae; Streptophyta; Magnoliopsida; Arecales; Arecaceae.
CAAUGGAUGGGCUCCACCAGCUGGAUCUCUACUCCGAACCUCUUCCAGACUUCAUCAAUGAUCGAGCUUCUCCAGCAGCGGGACUUCUACAAUAAGAAAUCUCCAUUUGAGCUUCCACGACAACCGAUCUUCAUCCGAGCUUCUAUAAUAAGCGGACUCCUUUCAGACUCCUACAAAAGUUGGAGUACAGUAGAAUUGAAUCUCGAACUCCUCCAAUGUUCGACCUUCCAUAGUGUCCUCAAGACUCCUCCA